AGAGUUUGAUCCUGGCUCAGAUUGAACGCUGCGGUAUGCCUUACACAUGCAAGUCGAACGGUAGAGGGGGCAACCCUUGAGAGUGGCGAACGGGUGAGUAAUACAUCGGAACGUGCCCAGUCUGGGGGAUAACGUAGCGAAAGCUACGCUAAUACCGCAUACGACCUGAGGGUGAAAGCGGGGGAUCGCAAGACCUCGCGCGAUUGGAGCGGCCGAUGGCAGAUUAGGUAGUUGGUGGGGUAAAGGCCUACCAAGCCUGCGAUCUGUAGCUGGUCUGAGAGGACGACCAGCCACACUGGGACUGAGACACGGCCCAGACUCCUACGGGAGGCAGCAGUGGGGAAUUUUGGACAAUGGGCGCAAGCCUGAUCCAGCCAUACCGCGUGCGGGAAGAAGGCCUUCGGGUUGUAAACCGCUUUUGUCAGGGAAGAAAUCUUCUGGGCUAAUACCUCGGGAGGAUGACGGUACCUGAAGAAUAAGCACCGGCUAACUACGUG
RNAcentral lists this ribosomal RNA (497 nucleotides) under uncultured Burkholderiales Genera incertae sedis bacterium. RNAcentral describes it as "bacterial SSU rRNA". It matches the Rfam family "Bacterial small subunit ribosomal RNA", at positions 8 to 507 of the family's 1533-position model. The record is from RNAcentral. Lineage: Bacteria; Pseudomonadati; Pseudomonadota; Betaproteobacteria; Burkholderiales.